UAAUGAGAAUUGUGCAAAAAAUCAUAUAGCAAUUGUGAAUUUUUGCUGAAGUGAAUCUAUUUGUGAUUUUAGAUUAGACCUGGAAUGGCAAAUUGUUUUGUUUGACGUAUUUUAUGUUAAGCUGGAUGGCUGUAAUUUUGGGGUGUUUUAGUUUAGAAGUUGCUGUGUACUACAUUGCAAGGUUUGUGACAUGGAUCUCACAUUAGAUGUAUGGGAUUCUGCUGAGGGGUUUAUAAGGACUCGGGCUCUCCCA
This 253-nucleotide unclassified non-coding RNA is filed under the name Hevea brasiliensis (rubber tree). The record is from RNAcentral. Lineage: Eukaryota; Viridiplantae; Streptophyta; Magnoliopsida; Malpighiales; Euphorbiaceae.